Molecule: ribosomal RNA, 465 nt
Filed under: uncultured bacterium
Lineage: Bacteria
Description: partial 16S ribosomal RNA
Rfam family: Bacterial small subunit ribosomal RNA
Source: RNAcentral
GACGAACGCUGGCGGCGUGCUUAACACAUGCAAGUCGAACGGAAAGGCCCUGCUUGCAGGGUACUCGAGUGGCGAACGGGUGAGUAACACGUGGGUGAUCUGCCCUGCACUUCGGGAUAAGCCUGGGAAACUGGGUCUAAUACCGGAUAGGAGCCAUUUUUAGUGUGAUGGUUGGAAAGUUUUUUCGGUGUAGGAUGAGCUCGCGGCCUAUCAGCUUGUUGGUGGGGUAAUGGCCUACCAAGGCGGCGACGGGUAGCCGGCCUGAGAGGGUGGACGGCCACAUUGGGACUGAGAUACGGCCCAGACUCCUACGGGAGGCAGCAGUGGGGAAUAUUGCACAAUGGGCGCAAGCCUGAUGCAGCGACGCCGCGUGGGGGAUGACGGCCUUCGGGUUGUAAACUCCUUUCGCUAGGGACGAAGCUUUUUGUGACGGUACCUAGACAAGAAGCACCGGCUAACUACGUG